AGCAUUUGCUGUACCGCGUUGACGGAGCGAAGCGACGUCAAACCGAUAAAACAGCAGUGUAAAGUGAGCCGCAGGGCGCUUUGCGCGACAGCGCAAAGGCAGGCGGUUUCGCGUAGCGAAAGCGAAUGCUUUGGGGUGGGGUGACUGCGUACCUUUUGUAUAAUGGGUCAGCGACUUAUAUUCUGUAGCAAGGUUAACCGAAUAGGGGAGCCGGAGGGAAACCGAGUCUUAAUUGGGCGUUAAGUUGCAGGGUAUAGACCCGAAACCCGGUGAUCUAGCCAUGGGCAGGUUGAAGGUUGGGUAACACUAACUGGAGGACCGAACCGACUAAUGUUGAAAAAUUAGCGGAUGACCUGUGGCUGGGGGUGAAAGGCCAAUCAAACCGGGAGAUAGCUGGUUCUCCCCGAAAGCUAUUUAGGUAGCGCCUCGUGAAUUCAUCUCCGGGGGUAGAGCACUGUUUCGGCUAGGGGGCCAUCCCGGCUUACCAACCCGAUGCAAACUGCGAAUACCGGAGAAUGUUAUCACGGGAGACACACGGCGGGUGCUAACGUCCGUCGUGAAGAGGGAAACAACCCAGACCGCCAGCUAAGGUCCCAAAGUCAUGGUUAAGUGGGAAACGAUGUGGGAAGGCCCAGACAGCCAGGAUGUUGGCUUAGAAGCAGCCAUCAUUUAAAGAAAGCGUAAUAGCUCACUGGUCGAGUCGGCCUGCGCGGAAGAUGUAACGGGGCUAAACCAUGCACCGAAGCUGCGGCAGCGACACUGUGUGUUGUUGGGUAGGGGAGCGUUCUGUAA
This 792-nucleotide ribosomal RNA is filed under the name Salmonella enterica subsp. enterica serovar Enteritidis. Its description in RNAcentral is "partial 23S ribosomal RNA". The stretch from base 121 to 792 matches the Rfam family "Bacterial large subunit ribosomal RNA", at positions 572 to 1246 of the family's 2925-position model. Lineage: Bacteria; Pseudomonadati; Pseudomonadota; Gammaproteobacteria; Enterobacterales; Enterobacteriaceae. The record is from RNAcentral.